Molecule: long non-coding RNA, 360 nt
Filed under: Lupinus angustifolius (narrow-leaved blue lupine)
Lineage: Eukaryota; Viridiplantae; Streptophyta; Magnoliopsida; Fabales; Fabaceae
Description: long non-coding RNA (LANG_LNC002822)
Source: RNAcentral
UUCGUUAGUGCUAUAGAUCUUCCUCACUCUUAUGUAUUUUAGAAAUUUGUUUUCAUUUCAACAUAACUCCAUAUCACCUUAUGAUACAUUUUUGGUCUGGUGGGUUCUCGAAUGAUAUCUGUGAAAAGUUAUGUAUUGAAGAUAUGCUACAGGUUAUAAUUUUUCCUUCGGAAUAAUUUACAAUCAUAUUUGUAUUUAAUUUUAUGCUAAAAUUAUUUGAUUUUUACUUUUGAUAGGUUGAUCAUUGUGAGGUUUAAUCUCAAAAAAAAGUUCCAUCCAGAUUUUUUCUAACCUUAUGGAUAAAGAACUAAUCCCUUUCGUGGAAUAUUUCUCCCAAUAAAUGUUACUCUCAGAAGUCGA